Molecule: long non-coding RNA, 159 nt
Organism: Tympanuchus pallidicinctus (lesser prairie-chicken)
Lineage: Eukaryota; Metazoa; Chordata; Aves; Galliformes; Phasianidae
Exons: 3
Source: RefSeq, a predicted model, not a curated record
CUUUUCUUGGACCUAAGCUGUUGCGUGAGUUGCUGUGUGGCCAGACAGCCCUGUCAUUGCUGGGGAACUCCAAAGGCAGAGAAUGAAGAAGUGAUGGUACCCUGCAGCAGCAGCUGGAGAUGUAAACAAGGGAGAACAAUACAGGAAAAGCAGAUGUGU